GAGGGGUGAGCCAGCAGGUGGGUCGGAGCCAGGCAGGACCUCAGAUGCUUCUCUGACACCUAGGAAAUCCUUGGCCUACUGUCGGGACCUGGAGCCUGUGGAGGAUUGGGAGCUGUAGAACCGUGUGGUCAGCUCUGUCUCCUAGAACAGUCACUGUAGGCAAAGGCCUGGCCUGGGCAUGAGUGAGGCUGGGAGAUCUGUGUGAGAUGUUCUGAGAAGACGGAGGGAAG
This 230-nucleotide long non-coding RNA is filed under the name Homo sapiens (human). RNAcentral's name for it is "HSALNT0084152". The record is from RNAcentral. Lineage: Eukaryota; Metazoa; Chordata; Mammalia; Primates; Hominidae.